Molecule: microRNA, 20 nt
Filed under: Marchantia polymorpha subsp. ruderalis
Lineage: Eukaryota; Viridiplantae; Streptophyta; Marchantiopsida; Marchantiales; Marchantiaceae
Source: RNAcentral
GCAAAAGAGAGAAGAGCUGA